AGCGCAGGCGGUUUGUCAAGUCAGAUGUGAAAGCCCACGGCUCAACCGUGGAAGUGCAUUUGAAACUGGCAGACUUGAGUAUCAGAGGGGAAAGUGGAAUUCCCGGUGUAGAGGUGAAAUUCGUAGAUAUCGGGAGGAAUACCGGUGGCGAAGGCGACUUUCUGGCUGAAUACUGACGCUGAGGCUCGAAAGCGUGGGGAGCAAACA
This 207-nucleotide ribosomal RNA is filed under the name uncultured bacterium. RNAcentral's name for it is "partial 16S ribosomal RNA". It matches the Rfam family "Bacterial small subunit ribosomal RNA", at positions 568 to 774 of the family's 1533-position model. The record is from RNAcentral.